Molecule: long non-coding RNA, 866 nt
Organism: Pangasianodon hypophthalmus (striped catfish)
Lineage: Eukaryota; Metazoa; Chordata; Actinopteri; Siluriformes; Pangasiidae
Exons: 4
Source: RefSeq, a predicted model, not a curated record
AGAAGCAGAAUAUUCUGUGAAACAAAGAUUGGAGAAUUUUUGUGGCAUAGAAACCUUUUUUUUUUUAAAGACUUUUUAUUGAUUUAAUAAAGUUGGUUGCCUUUAUAAAAAGAUUUGUUUAAGGAUUGUUUUUAAGGGGCUGAUGUGCAGACUGAAGGAGGGACUAUCUGGACAAAAAUCUUGACUGGAAAAGGAGAAGAAAAGAACAGAGGACCUUUUUUGUGGUUUUUACUUCAGGAGCUGGAAAAAGGACUUGUAUUAAAAAUGGAAUCUUCUAUGAAGAUUUAUGAGGAAACCCAUGACCAACCAGUUCAAGAGAAUCACAAGAACUGAGAGACUUUACCUUUUUUACUUCUUUUCCUUUUCUACUUUUUCUCUCUCUUCAGUCCCGGAUUGCAUAUCUGUCCACAGGUUCCACGGUUGUCUUUGUCUCCUGUUGAGAAUGGUCCAAUGUCUCGGGAGGGAGCCAGCUUCUCCAAGACUAAAACUAUUCUGGUAGAGAUUCACCUUGAACCCAAUUUGGUACCACACAAGCUGAGUUCAGUUCGGAAUAAUGAGCCUGCACAGAGGGAUGAACAGAGGAACAUCGCAGAGAACUAGGGGAAAAGAGUGAUGAAUGGCUUUCUUGAAGGGCAGACUCCCAACAUCUUAAGAGCCCAGUCUGAAUCUUCCCUCUCUUUCCCGCGAUUUACCCUCUCCCCUCUUAGCAGAGGUACAUCUGCAGACACCAAAACUCAGAGCAUCAUUGCUUGAUAGAGUUUCCAACAAUUCAUGUAAUGGAUGUUUUCUUCCAACCAAACAUCCAAGAAUGAAAAGAAACAUAGCAGAAUGGAAUAUUGAGGUGAUUAAACUGUCUUUAUAAAUGA